This 253-nucleotide ribosomal RNA is filed under the name uncultured bacterium. Its description in RNAcentral is "partial 16S ribosomal RNA". It matches the Rfam family "Bacterial small subunit ribosomal RNA", at positions 524 to 776 of the family's 1533-position model. The record is from RNAcentral.
UACGAGUGCCCCGAGCGUUAUCCGGAAUUACUGGGCGUAAAGGGUGUGUAGGCGGCGUGAUUAGUCGGUUGUUAAAGCUCCUGGCUUAACUGGGAAAAGGCAACCGAAACGGUCACACUAGAGGAGGCGAGGGGUCUAUGGAACUCAUGGUGUAGGGGUGAAAUCCGUUGAUAUCAUGGGGAACACCAAAAGCGAAGGCAGUAGACUGGCGCCUAACUGACGCUGAAACACGAAAGCGUGGGGAUCAAACGGG